GAGACCCGUACCCACAGUUGCCAGCGGGUCCUCCGGCAGGAUGGGUACUCUGUGGGGACCGCCUGUGUUAAAGAGGAGGAAGGAGCGGGCGACGGUAGGUCAGUAUGCCCCGAAUUUUCCGGGCUACACGCGGGCUACAAUGGAUGGGACAAUGGGUUCCUACCCCGAAAGGGGAAGGCAAUCUCUUAACCCCAUUCUUAGUUCGGAUUGAGGGCUGAAACUCGCCCUCAUGAAGCUGGAAUCCGUAGUAAUCGCGUUUCAAAACAGCGCGGUGAAUAC
Molecule: ribosomal RNA, 279 nt
Filed under: uncultured methanogenic archaeon
Lineage: Archaea; Methanobacteriati; Methanobacteriota
Description: partial 16S rRNA
Rfam family: Archaeal small subunit ribosomal RNA
Source: RNAcentral